Long non-coding RNA from Oreochromis niloticus (Nile tilapia), 403 nucleotides. RefSeq lists it as uncharacterized. The transcript has 3 exons. The record is from RefSeq and is a predicted model, not a curated record. NCBI's taxonomy places the organism in Eukaryota, Metazoa, Chordata, Actinopteri, Cichliformes, Cichlidae.
CCCCCAAAAAAAAUCAUCACAUAUUAUGUCUUUUAAAAUGUAAUAAUCAGUAUAUUUAUGUAUUUUUUAUGUUUUAAUUUUUUGCAGGAUAUUGGUCUGGUCUGUGUGUUUGCAUGUUCUCUAAUGUUCUCUCUGCAUGGGAUCUCUCCAGACUAGCGACCUGUCCAGUGUGUUCCUUGACCUUUGCCCUAAAUAAGCUUGGACAGACUCCAAACUACCCACAAACCUCAACUGGAGUGGACUAUCCAGAUGCCGAACAACAACAUUACAAAAACACUGUGGGCAGCCAACAUCCAAAGAAGACCUUUGAAUGUAUUCAAGAUGCCUGGAGAACUAUUCCCGAAGACUACUUAAAGAAAAGACAAGAAAACUCACGUGAGAGAAUUCAGGCUGAAUAAAGAUG